Small nucleolar RNA from Echinops telfairi (small Madagascar hedgehog), 135 nucleotides. RefSeq annotates it as small nucleolar RNA SNORA4. The record is from RefSeq and is a predicted model, not a curated record. NCBI's taxonomy places the organism in Eukaryota, Metazoa, Chordata, Mammalia, Afrosoricida, Tenrecidae. The transcript has a single exon.
AAUCCUCAUUAAACUUGUGAAGACACUGGGUUUUUAAAAGGCUGUGUGGGCUGUGUGGAAGAAUAAAGAGAAGACCACACUCCACAGUGGACUAUACCACUUAGUAUAGUUCACUACUAUUUUGUGCCCUACACU